UGGGGAAUUUUGGACAAUGGGCGAAAGCCUGAUCCAGCAAUGCCGCGUGUGUGAAGAAGGCCUUCGGGUUGUAAAGCACUUUUGUCCGGAAAGAAAUCCUUGGCUCUAAUACAGUCGGGGGAUGACGGUACCGGAAGAAUAAGCACCGGCUAACUACGUGCCAGCAGCCGCGGUAAUACGUAGGGUGCAAGCGUUAAUCGGAAUUACUGGGCGUAAAGCGUGCGCAGGCGGUUUGCUAAGACCGAUGUGAAAUCCCCGGGCUCAACCUGGGAACUGCAUUGGUGACUGGCAGGCUAGAGUAUGGCAGGAGGGGGGUAGAAUUCCACGUGUAGCAGUGAAAUGCGUAGAGAUGUGGAGGAAUACCGAUGGCGAAGGCAGCCCCCUGGGCAAUACUGACGCUCAUGCACGAAAGCGUGGGGAGCAAACAGGAUUAGAUACCCUGGUAGUCCACGCCCUAAACGAUGUCAACUAGUUGUUGGGGAUUCAUUUCCUUAGUAACGUAGCUAACGCGUGAAGUUGACCGCCUGGGGAGUACGGUCG
This 540-nucleotide ribosomal RNA is filed under the name uncultured bacterium. Its description in RNAcentral is "partial 16S ribosomal RNA". It matches the Rfam family "Bacterial small subunit ribosomal RNA", at positions 355 to 888 of the family's 1533-position model. The record is from RNAcentral.